CAACCCUCAAGCAAUGCUUGGUAUUGGGCUUCGCUGCUCACGUAGCGGGUCUUAAAAUCAGUGGCGGUGCCGUCGGGCCCUGAGCGCAGUAAAUAUCCUCGCUACAGGGACUCGGUGGACGCUGGCCAUCAACCCCCCCCACUCUCUCAGU
This 151-nucleotide unclassified non-coding RNA is filed under the name uncultured Helotiales. RNAcentral describes it as "sequence contains ITS2". The record is from RNAcentral. Lineage: Eukaryota; Fungi; Ascomycota; Leotiomycetes; Helotiales.